GACGAACGCUGGCGGCGUGCUUAACACAUGCAAGUCGAGCGGAAAGGCCCUGCUUUUGUGGGGUGCUCGAAUGGCGAACGGGUGAGUAACACGUGAGUAACCUGCCCUUGACUUUGGGAUAACUUCAGGAAACUGGGGCUAAUACCGGAUAGGAGCUCCUGCUGCAUGGUGGGGGUUGGAAAGUUUCGGCGGUUGGGGAUGGACUCGCGGCUUAUCAGCUUGUUGGUGGGGUAGUGGCUUACCAAGGCUUUGACGGGUAGCCGGCCUGAGAGGGUGACCGGCCACAUUGGGACUGAGAUACGGCCCAGACUCCUACGGGAGGCAGCAGUGGGGAAUAUUGCACAAUGGGCGGAAGCCUGAUGCAGCAACGCCGCGUGCGGGAUGACGGCCUUCGGGUUGUAAACCGCUUUCGCCUGUGACGAAGCGUGAGUGACGGUAAUGGGUAAAGAAGCACCGGCUAACUACGUG
This 468-nucleotide ribosomal RNA is filed under the name uncultured bacterium. RNAcentral's name for it is "partial 16S ribosomal RNA". It matches the Rfam family "Bacterial small subunit ribosomal RNA", at positions 28 to 507 of the family's 1533-position model. The record is from RNAcentral.